UAGUGGCGAACGGGUGAGUAACACGUGGNCAAUCUGCCCUUCACUCUGGGACAAGCCCUGGAAACGGGGUCUAAUACCGGAUAUGAGCCUGGGAGGCAUCUCCUGGGUUGUAAAGCGUCCGGCGGUGAAGGAUGAGCCCGCGGCUCUAUCAGCUUGUUGGUGAGGUAAUGGCUCACCAAGGCGACGACGGGUAGCCGGCCUGAGAGGGCAGACCGGCCACACUGGGACUGAGACACGGCCCAGACUCCUACGGGAGGCAGCAGUGGGGAAUAUUGCACAAUGGGCGGAAGCCUGAUGCAGCAGACGCCGCGUGAGGGAUGACGGCCUUCGGGUUGUAAACCUCUUUCAGCAGGGAAGAAGCGUGAGUGACGGUACCUGCAGAAGAAGCGCCGGCUAACUACGUGCCAGCAGCCGCGGUAAUACGUAGGGCGCAAGCGUUGUCCGGAAUUAUUGGGCGUAAAGAGCUCGUAGGCGGCUUGUCGCGUCGAUUGUGAAAGCCCGGGGCUUAACUCCGGGUCUGCAGUCGAUACGGGCUAGCUAGAGUGUGGUAGGGGAGAUCGGAAUUCCU
This 568-nucleotide ribosomal RNA is filed under the name Streptomyces sp. 411H12. RNAcentral describes it as "bacterial SSU rRNA". It matches the Rfam family "Bacterial small subunit ribosomal RNA", at positions 93 to 671 of the family's 1533-position model. Lineage: Bacteria; Bacillati; Actinomycetota; Actinomycetes; Kitasatosporales; Streptomycetaceae. The record is from RNAcentral.